Molecule: ribosomal RNA, 467 nt
Filed under: uncultured bacterium
Lineage: Bacteria
Description: partial 16S ribosomal RNA
Rfam family: Bacterial small subunit ribosomal RNA
Source: RNAcentral
GACGAACGCUGGCGGCGUGCUUAACACAUGCAAGUCGAACGGAAAGGCCUCUUUCGGGGGGUACUCGAGUGGCGAACGGGUGAGUAACACGUGAGUAACCUGCCCUUGACUUUGGGAUAACUUCAGGAAACUGGGGCUAAUACAGGAUAGGAGCUCCUGCGGCACGGUGGGGGUUGGAAAGUUUCGGCGGGUGGGGAUGGACUCGCGGCUUAUCAGCUUGUUUGGGGGGGAGUGGCGUACCAAGGGUUUGUCGGGUAGCCGGGCUGGGAGGGUGGACCGCCACAUUGGGACUGAGGUACGGGCCAGACUCCCACGGGAGGGAGGAGGGGGGAAUAUUGGACAAUGGGUGGGAGCCUGAUGCAGCAACGCCGGGGGCGGGAUGACGGGCUUCGGGGUGUAAACCGCUUUCGCUCAUGACGAAGCUUUGUGUGACGGUAGUGGGUAAAGAAGCACCGGCUAACUACGUG